RNAcentral lists this long non-coding RNA (5222 nucleotides) under Oryza sativa (Asian cultivated rice). Its description in RNAcentral is "long non-coding RNA (OSAT_LNC001668)". The record is from RNAcentral. Lineage: Eukaryota; Viridiplantae; Streptophyta; Magnoliopsida; Poales; Poaceae.
CAUGGUGCUGGGCAAGAAGUACCUGGACAAGGAUGCGGGGGGGUCGGUGACGACGCCGGAGGAGUUCAAGUGGAUGCUCGACGAGCUGUUCCUGCUCAACGGCGUGCUCAACAUCGGCGACUCCAUCCCGUGGCUCGACUGGCUGGACCUGCAGGGGUACAUCAAGAGGAUGAAGAAGCUCGGCAAGAUGUUCGACCGGUUCCUGGAACACGUCGUGGACGAGCACAACGAGCGCCGCCGCCGCGAGGGGGAGAGCUUCGUGGCCAAGGACAUGGUGGACGUGCUGCUGCAGUUCGCUGACAAUCCCAACCUUGAGGUCAAGCUCAAGAGGGAAGGUGUCAAGGCAUUCACUCAGGUGAGUCUUUCUGUCACUGCAUUUCUGCCCCCAAAAAAUGUUUUCAGAUCAACUUCAAAUAUCUACACGCUUCAAUAAACUGGAAAAUCACAUACUAAUACUGUAAUUAAUAGGAACAAUCUUGAAUGGGUGCAGUCACAAACUCUCAGAAUGAUAGCUGCAGGCUGCAACUAUGUACUCGUAGCAUUCUUGUUAGUCAACUUCUGAAACUUGACCGUGACAUAAAUUAUUUAUUUCUUAGUAGGAUAUUGGGAUACUACGUAUGGUAGGGUUGUCAUUUAUCAUAGCCAAACCACAUUAUUAAUUACUAGUUUCAAUCAGAAAACGGACUUACAUAAAAGAUCGGAGUUGCCCAAAUGGACGUCACUAUCCAUUAGGGAAAUGAAUGUGCUUGCCACAGAGCUAGCCCACACAACUAUGAACUGUCUGAAUAUCUUGUCUGCCCAAAGAGCUUGCAGAUUCCGUUGCUGAUAAGCAUGGGACGUCAAUCAUUGCAAGCAGCACUGACCCCCUCCUGUGAUCUAAACAGUGCAGAAUAAGUUUAUAACUGAACAAAAACAACAUUAAAAAACAAUUUUCAGACUGCAGAUCAACACUCUUCAUUAUGUCUUAAAUCUUAUAACAAUGCAUCAUAUCACUGGAGUGUUACUUAGUCCAUUGUUGAUCACCAUUACAACACCAUCUAAGUAGCAACAAUUCAGCAAUUCACAUCGAUCGUUACGUGCAGGACCUCAUCGCUGGCGGCACAGAGAGCUCGGCGGUGACCGUGGAGUGGGCGCUGUCGGAGCUCCUGAAGAAGCCGGAGGUGUUCGCCAAGGCCACCGAGGAGCUGGACCGCGUCGUGGGCCGCGGCCGCUGGGUCACGGAGAAGGACGUCCCGAGCCUCACCUACGUGGACGCCAUCGUGAAGGAGACCAUGCGGCUGCACCCGGUGGCGCCCAUGCUGGUGCCCCGCCUGUCCCGCGAGGACACGUCCGUCGACGGCUACGACAUCCCCGCCGGCACGCGGGUGCUCGUCAGCGUGUGGACCAUCGGCCGCGACCCCAAGCUGUGGGACGCGCCGGAGGAGUUCAUGCCGGAGAGGUUCAUCGGCAACAAGAUCGACGUGAAGGGGCAGGACUUCGAGCUGCUGCCGUUCGGGUCGGGCCGGCGGAUGUGCCCCGGCUACAGCCUUGGGCUGAAGGUGAUCCAGCUGAGCCUCGCCAAUCUGCUGCACGGCUUCGCGUGGAGGCUGCCCGACGGCGUGACGAGGGAGCAGCUGAGCAUGGAGGAGAUCUUCGGCUUGUCGACGCCGCGCAAGUUCCCGCUUGAGGCUGUCGUCGAGCCCAAGCUGCCCGCUCACCUCUAUGCUGCUGCCUGAUGUGAUAUGCCUUUGAUGAUGUGCGUGUGUACGUUCUGUGUCUCUUGACUGUACUGUAGGCACUGCUCCUGUCGCGGUCCAACAUUAAGCUUGCAGUGUAUUGCUAGCGUUGUUACUUAUUAUGCAUCCUGUGCUGCCUUUGUAGAGCUGAAUGUAAUAGGGCAAGUGUGAGUCAAUAAUAUGCUUGAUAAUAAGGUGUUAUGCGAUAUUGGAGUGUCGUGCACAAAAUAGAUUCAUCAUACUGGCAGUAGAUAUUCCCUAUGAAAAAAAACCACUGUCGCAGAUAUGUAGGAAGUAGGAUAAGUCCAUAUUGCCCACCUCAACUAGUUAUUUUUUACGAGCUGGCUCGGCUCGUUUGAGCUCGUUAUCUUAACGAGCCUGUUAACGAUCCAGAAGCUUAGCUCGGCUUGGCUAGUCUCAUAAGUUGACUUAUUAAGCUAGUUAGUUAGGCUUGUUAACGUAUUUAUUCUACCUUCAUAAUUUCACAUUUACCAUUUUAUCAUAUAUAAACAUGAAAAUAAACACUAACUAAUAAAUAAUUCACUAAAUAUAAAUAGUUCGGUUGUAUUUAAAUGACUGAAUACUAGUUAAAAUCACGAAGUACAUGAAGAUAUGUUGAUUUCUUGUAUUAACGAGCUAAACGAGCAGUUCGCGAGCUUCAUGAGCUAAAAGUCUACUUUGGCUCGACUUAUUAAGACUACAAAUUCGACUCAAUCCGAGCCAAGCUCGCUACGAGCUUUAAGUUUUUUGUCCACCCCAAGUCCAAACUCCAAACACACCCUUUAACUUUAACUUUAAUAUUGUAUAAAGAAACAUUCUCAACUCUUAAAACCAUUUAAAGAAUUUAUUCUCAUAAAAGUCCUCAAUUACUCCCACCGUCAUAAACAACCAAUCAAAAAGCUCAAAUUUCUACUAGAAAUGUAGCUAUAUUUUUUAACAGAGGAUAAAUUAUGUUUAUUUUGCCUAGCAUGGCCUUUUGAAUGCAUAUGUUACUAUAAAAUCCAAGAAAUAAGUGAUUGCACUCAAGCUUGAUUUUGAGAAGGCAUUUUGGUAAAACUGAAUAGAGUGUAAUCCUAGAGAUUCUGAUAUGUAAAGGGAUUGGCAACUGUGGAUUGAUUGGGUAGAAAAAAAAAUCUAAAAAUCUACAACUUUUUCCAUUUUAUUGAAUGGAGUGCCCCAGGGAAAAAAAUCUCAAUCCAGAAGGGGAGUGAGACAAGGAGUCUCAUUCAACUCUCCUUUUUUAACUAGCAACAGACCUCCUACAAUCUAUUCACAAUAAAGCUAUGACCUAUGAACAGAGGGACCUUGCAAUCUUCACUGACAAUUUCAACUUGUACGUGUCUUGACUUACUAGUAAUACAAUAUGCGGAUGACACGCUCCUAGUAAUAUAUGUAUGCUCUAGACAAUUGUUUUGACUCAAAGCUUUUUACAUACAUUUUGUGGACUCGACUAGUCUAAGAAUAAACUUCAACAAAUCAUUCAUGGUGCCAAUUAAUGUGUCAGAAGAAAAGAUGAAGAUUCCCACAAAUACUCUGCAAUGACGCAACGAUCCUUUCCUUUCAGUUACCUUGGAUUACCUUUAAGUCUCACCAAACCACUCAUACAUGAUUUCUUCCCAAUAGUAUAGAGAAUUAAAAGAAGGCUCGUCUCCUGUUCCAUUUAUCUUUCUUAUGGAAAUAGGCUCGAUCUGGUUAACUAUGUGCUUUCUGCUAACUUUCUACAUGUGCCAACUGAAACUUCCAGUUAAGAGUUGUGGAGCAAAUUGAUAAAAACAGAAGACAUCGUCUAUGGAGAGGGUUAGACAUGGGAAGCAAAUUAAACACUCCUCUUGUUUGGAAUAAAGUUUGCAUGUCACUGUAUUCUUAAAAAUGUUUAUAUUUUGAGAUGUAUGGGGUACUCUACAUGGUGCACGGCUGUAUGCCUACCUACUGUUGCUUACUCAUUGAUAGCAUUGUUGCAGUUUCUUAUAGCUUCUCUGUCUCAAAAGAAAAUGACUACCUCAACAGGUCAUACAAAAAGUACACCAUUUAUCAAUGCAAUUUGUUCUAUUGUAAAAUAGAUACCAAUUGAUCAGAGGUACAUAUCCUAUAUGUACAAACUUCUCGUGCACGCUCCAUGCACACCAACAAGCAAAUGGCACGAAAAUUUCUACGAAUAAUUGAACAUUUACUCCUAAUAGUAUUAAACAUAUCUGCAAAGUCUCAUAUUCAAAUUCAUUAUAUUUUAGCCGUAACAAAAAAGUGAAAAAUCUGACAAUUUAAAAGUAAAAAUCUGUUAGAAAUUUGUUUUUUUUGUUACGGCUAAAAUAUAAUGUAUUUGAAUAUAAGAUUUCACACGUAAGUAUAAUACCAUUGGAAUUAUGUGUCUAAUUUUUUCUGGAUUUUUCUGUGACAUUUGUCAGUUGGUGUGUUAGGAGUGUACACGGGAAAUAUAUUCCCUUCCAGAUCACGAGAUUAAUUAGCAACUUGGGCAAUUAACCACAGUGGUUUUUUAACAUGACCAGUACAAGUUGACUAAUGAUUGUCUUUAUUUAUGCCAAGUGCAAACAAAACAUCGAUCGAAUGCCCAUAUGCAGCCUGAAUUCUCAAUGGUAUAUCUAUUGCGUUAGCAAGCCACUCCCUCUUGCGAUCUAUAAAAGUUCGCCCGUGGUUCAGUCAUCUUCACCAGCCAAGAUACAUUUUUCAGAUGGAGUUUCUACUAUGGGUAUCCUACCUUACCAUCACACUCGCCACCAUCCUCUUAUUUCUUAGAACCCUGAUCUUGAGGCACAACCGCCGGGUGUACAACCUCCCUCCUGGGCCUAAGCCAUGGCCAAUCAUCGGCAACCUCAACCUCAUGGGCUCACUCCCACACCGCUCCAUCCACAGCCUCUCCAAGAAGUACGGUCCCCUGAUGCACCUCAGGUUCGGGUCCUUCCCCGUCGUCGUUGGCUCGUCGGUGGAGAUGGCCAAGUUCUUCCUCAAGACCCACGACGUGGUGUUCGCCGACCGGCCCAAGACCGCCGCCGGCAAGCACACCACCUACAACUACAGCGACAUGACGUGGUCGCCCUACGGCGCGUACUGGCGCCAGGCGCGCAAGGUGUGCCUCGCCGAGCUCUUCAGCGCCAAGCGGAUCGAGUCGUACGAGCACAUCCGCCGCGAGGAGGUGCGCGCGCUGCUCCGCGAUCUGCACGCGGCGUCCGGGCGCGUGGUGGCGCUCAAGGACUACCUGUCCGCGGCGAGCCUGAACGUGAUCUCGCGCAUGGUGCUCGGCAAGAAGUACCUGGAGCGCGAGGUGGUGCACGAGGGAGAAGUGGUGACGACGCCCGAGCGGUUCAGGUGGAUGAUCGAUGAGCUCUUCCUGCUUAACGGCGUGCUCGACAUUGGGGAUUCGAUCCCGUGGUUGGGCUGGCUGGACCUGCAGGGGUACAUUCGGAGGAUGAAGAAGCUGAGCAAGAUGUUUGAUCAGUUCCUGGAAUAUGUAUUGGACGAGCAUGAGAACCGGAUGUGUCGCGAGGGGGAGAG